Molecule: long non-coding RNA, 206 nt
Filed under: Sorghum bicolor (sorghum)
Lineage: Eukaryota; Viridiplantae; Streptophyta; Magnoliopsida; Poales; Poaceae
Description: long non-coding RNA (SBIC_LNC008788)
Source: RNAcentral
AUCUCUUUCUGUGGUUAGUGUUCUGAUGUCCCGAAAUAAAUAAUCUUUGAAGUAAUUCUUGAUUCUUAGAUCAACUAGAGAACUCUCAGGAAACUUCCUCAAUUCCCACCAAAAAUAAUUAUAUAGUUAUCUUUGGGCGAUCUUGAAUCUUAAUUAGUACACUCAUGUUCCCUGUGGAAAAUCGAUACUCUGGAAUACUCCCGGGU